Molecule: non-coding RNA, 116 nt
Organism: Myotis lucifugus (little brown bat)
Lineage: Eukaryota; Metazoa; Chordata; Mammalia; Chiroptera; Vespertilionidae
Source: Rfam
GGAUCGAUGAUGACUCCCUCAAAAAAAAAAAACAGCCAAACCAACAUUCCUUGGAAAAGCUGAACAAAAUGAGUGAGAACUACACCCGUCGUCGUUCUCAUCGGUAACUGAGGUCC